Molecule: transfer RNA, 86 nt
Filed under: Lapidilactobacillus concavus DSM 17758
Lineage: Bacteria; Bacillati; Bacillota; Bacilli; Lactobacillales; Lactobacillaceae
Description: Lactobacillus concavus DSM 17758 tRNA
Rfam family: tRNA
About the family: Transfer RNA (tRNA) molecules are approximately 80 nucleotides in length. Their secondary structure includes four short double-helical elements and three loops (D, anti-codon, and T loops).
Source: Rfam by way of RNAcentral
GCGGGCAUGGCGGAACUGGUAGACGCGCAAGACUAAGGAUCUUGUGACCGUUAUAGGUCGUGGAAGUUCGAGUCUUCUUGCCCGCA